RNAcentral lists this ribosomal RNA (331 nucleotides) under uncultured eukaryote. Its description in RNAcentral is "partial 18S ribosomal RNA". It matches the Rfam family "Eukaryotic small subunit ribosomal RNA", at positions 1470 to 1796 of the family's 1831-position model. The record is from RNAcentral.
CCCUUAGAUGUUCUGGGCCGCACGCGCGCUACACUGUUCGACGCAGCGAGUCUUAACCUUGACCGAAAGGUUUGGGUAAUCUUCAGCAAAGUCGAACGUGAUGGGGAUCGAUCAUUGCAAUUAUUGAUCGUGAACGAGGAAUUCCUAGUAAGUGCAAGUCAUCAGCUUGCGCUGAUUACGUCCCUGCCCUUUGUACACACCGCCCGUCGCUACUACCGAUUGAAUGGUUUAGUGAGAUCUCUUGAUUGACGCUGGCUAGGGGGCGACCCUUGGCCAGACUGUUGAGAAACUGCUCAAACUUGAUCAUUUAGAGGAAGUAAAAGUCGUAACA